CCUACGGGAGGCAGCAGUGAGGAAUAUUGGUCAAUGGACGAGAGUCUGAACCAGCCAAGUAGCGUGAAGGAUGACUGCCCUCUGGGUUGUAAACUUCUUUUAUCUGGGAAUAACAUGUUCCACGUGUGGGAUUUUGUAUGUACCAUAUGAAUACGGAUCGGCUAACUCAGUGCCAGCAGCCGCGGUAAUACGGAGGAUCCGAUCGUUAUCCGGAUUUAGUGGGUUUAAAGGGAGCGUAGGUGGAUUGGUAAGUCAGUUGUGAAAGUUUGCGGCUCAACCGUAAAAUUGCAGUUGAAACUGGCAGUCUUGAGUACAGUAGAGGUGGGCGGAAUUCGUGGUGUAGCGGUGAAAUGCGUAGAUAGCACGAAGAACUCCGAUUGCGAAGGCAGCUCACUGGACUGCAACUGACACUGAGGCUCGAAAGUGUGGGUAGCAAACAGGAUUAGAUACCCUGGUAGUC
Molecule: ribosomal RNA, 460 nt
Filed under: uncultured bacterium
Lineage: Bacteria
Description: partial 16S ribosomal RNA
Rfam family: Bacterial small subunit ribosomal RNA
Source: RNAcentral